RNAcentral lists this ribosomal RNA (221 nucleotides) under Enterococcus faecium. RNAcentral describes it as "partial 16S ribosomal RNA". Lineage: Bacteria; Bacillati; Bacillota; Bacilli; Lactobacillales; Enterococcaceae. The record is from RNAcentral.
CACGGGGGAACCCCAGGUCAAAAGGGGCAUGAUGAUUUGACGUCCUCCCCACCUUCCCCCGGUUUGCCCCCGGCAGUUUUGCAAAAGGGCCCAACUGAAGGGGGGCAACAAAAAAUAAGGGUUGCGCUCGUUGGGGGAUUAAACCCAAAUUUUCCCGACCCGAGGUGACAAAACCCAUGCACCCCCCUGGUCACUUGGCCCCCAAGGGGGAAGCUUUUUUC